CGGCCAGCCGGCUUGGACUUAUAACACUCGUGUGCAACAGCCAUGGAAACCCCCGAACAACUGCACCUGCGCAGUUCAUCGCCGAGCGAUCAGCCAUUCUGUCGGGUGCCGGAAUUUCAAGUGGACGCGCCUGUUCCGGUUUCUUCGUGUCCUAAGAUGGCAUCUCGACCGAAGCAUUGUGCUUUGAAAUGAAGACCCGCUACCUGUUUCGCCAGUGGGCCUGGAAGAGCGGCUAUGGAUGCUACGUCCAAACCCGCAUUGCCUUCUACGUCCGCCUUGUGCCUCUUGGAUGGGCAAGGCGAUCUUCGGGAUACCCCUGUACUGCGGCCAUGCUGUGUGCGAGUCCCCAACGAUUCGCCUCCUGUUCCCUGCCUCUUGCUUGCCAAACCCACAUUGCCUUCUACGUCUGGCUUUUGCCUCUUCGAUGUGCAGGGCAAUCCUGCGGAUACCCCUGUACUGCGGCCGUGAUGUGUCUGUGUCCACAAGGGUUCGCCUCCUGGUUCCUUCCUCUUGCUUGCCGAACCCGCAUUGCCUUUCACGUCCAGCCUGUGCCUCUUCGAUGGCGAAGGCUAUCUGCCAGAUACCCUUGUACUGCGGCCAUGGCGUCUCUGCGUUUAUAAGGCUUCGUCUCCUGCCACCCCCCCCCCCUCAAGCUUGCCUUCUGGUGAAUACAUCCCACAAGAUACUAUAUUGCUGUGGUCUGCCCUUCGGACUUCACUUUGUGUGAGAACUGACUGUCUUCAGCGUUGCUGUUCGUCAUAACUCCGCUGUGACUACCAGUGGAUGAACAGUGGGUGACAGACUGCAUCUUGUGUUCGCUCUGUGAGACGUGCCAGCGACUUCUGGAUCUACCCUGGGCUACUAGCUGCACUUCAACUGCUGCGCAACACCUCCACAUCGGUGAUUUACAACCUAUUAUAGGAAAUAGAUGUUUAAAUGGUAGUCUGAAGGCCUACAGAAUCUAAUGCACCUCAAAACAGUAUGCUGUUCAGUGGCUA
Rhipicephalus microplus (southern cattle tick) is the source of this 998-nucleotide long non-coding RNA. The record is from RefSeq and is a predicted model, not a curated record. Lineage: Eukaryota; Metazoa; Arthropoda; Arachnida; Ixodida; Ixodidae.